AGUGAGGCCAAAUCGUCCAUGCAAGGGUGUGUGGGGAGGGAGUGAGGUGCCAGGGAACGUGAGGUGGUAGGGGAGGGAGGGUUUGCUCCAGUAUGUCAACUAGGAUGAACAUCAAAAGACGGCAACGGCACCAUUCCUGUGGAAUUCUGAGGGCAUUGUUUUGGGCAACGAAGCAAAUUUUAUUUGUAUAGUAUUUUUUCAGUAUCCAAAAACUGGUGGAUUGAAUUUGAUGUCAAGGUUGUCUUUCUGUUCCAUUAAUUGUUCUGGAUUAUGUCAAGGAUGCAGAUUAGUGAAUCAAAGAGUCCUGCUUGUGCCUAAUCCAACAGAGGAUGUCUGCCCUCUUCAAGCUCAGCAGCAGAUCUAGGACCAGAGUAAACAACCUCUCAUUACAUGCCACAAACCAUGACUCCCCAGACCAGCAACUGCAGAUAAUACAGCACUGUCAAGCACAACAUAACACCUGCGCUCACAGCAGAUGGAGAAUUCUGUUGACCUUCCUCAGGGACUGUACUAUACAAGUGGCAAUGUAUCCCACAACCUCCCAGAUUCAGGUUUUGACGAGAAGGGUGUUAUUAAAUAGCUAUUGUACGUGUAGAGUAAAUGGCAAAAGCAUGUGAUUCUGAGGGAUGGCGUUGGCCAAGUUAAGGGACAUUGAGAAUGUUGCACCAGUGGGAGUUUUUACAUUGAUGUACAACUCGGGUAACAUCUGGAUAUCUGGACUUUACUUGUAGACUAAAGGUGACGUGGCAAAGGUAGAUUUCACACAGGGGGAAUAAUGAAGGGUGCACAUUGGGGCAAUUCAUAAGGAGACUGAAAUGUGCAUUUCAGUGUGAUAGAAAGGCAGAGAUUAAAAGAGAGCAGUAAUGAAUUGUUCUACCAGAAACGAUGCCCACACCACCUUGCCAUCUUUUCUUUUUCACUUAAAUUAAAUUAGUCUCAAGGUACUCAUGUUCUUGCAUCAUCAAACGCUAAUUAGAUUCAGCCGUCAUUGAGGCAAAAUGGGAAUUGGGAUCGUAACACGUGUCCCGGUGAGUGCCAACAACUGCCUUAUUGUGAAUGCAUGAAAACAGAUGCAGGAGAUAUGUGAAGCUGUUGUGAACUUUCUCCUCUUCUGAUGAAAGCCCUUGUCAACGAGGAUCUCGUUUUCUUCUCAGUAGUGCCCAUGUAGUGCCGUCACUGUCCAGGACAGGCCACAUGUGAGCAGAGCCCGUCACCUCUAGCACCACAGAAAUAUCCCAAACCUUCCAUCUCUCCCACUAACUCCCAGCCCUUCCCGGAUGUCAUUUUGCCUUGCUAACAUUUACCGUCUCUUUGUCCCCCAUUACUGAAUCAUAAAAGGGAGAGAAAAAAGUGGAAAAGCUGGAAACGUAUUAAGAUCCUGAAAGCAUAUCGUGCUUACAAUAUUAAUGCACACAUUUUAUUUUCCUUAGGUUGAACAAGCCGUCUCCACCAGUUUCCCCUCAGCAUCCGCCAUAUGAAUUAGCUCUCAAUACAAGACAAAUCCCUUUGUUUUAACAGCCUGCACUUCUACCUAAAGUCUCCAGGCAGAGCCUUAGCAAUCCUAAAACCUCCCCCCCCCCAAAAAAAAAAAAACCUCAAGAGCAAUAGACAAAAUAGCUCCAUAAUCUACAUCACAGGCAAAACCCCAAAUAACUGAAUUCAACAGAAGAUGCUCAUUUUGUGAUCACGACGCUCUAGACUUUCAUAGUGAAGUUGUGUCAUCUAGAACUCUCUGGAACACACAGAGACUUAGCCAAACAGACUCUUCAGAACUGCUGGAACUCGAACCUCUCUACUCGGAAUGGAAGUAAUCAUGCCCCAUUCGCCUUUAUGACACACGCAGCCGCUCCAGAUCGACCCUCUGAUGAUGGAAUUGUUUUACACUGAUGUUACUGUACUUACACUAUCUCAUGUCAUUAUUCUGCAUGUCAUAUGGGCACUUUGUUGUCCCGUGUUGACGCAGGAUCAACUCACUAUCCAUAUAUUGGGAUAUGUAAGCAAAAAACUGAUCCCAGACAGCACAUGUUCUUUGAAUUUCUAAACCUAUGGCUUCAGACAUAUGUACACCUUUGGAAUGUGUUAGUGAGAAUUAAUUGAAAUACCCUAAAACAUAAACAAAAUUACACUGUCCCUCCCACACUCAUUUUAUUUAGAAAAUGUGCCUGUACUGUGUGAUUCCGCAUUGUUCUAUUAUUUCUGUGAAACAGAAUGUUUUGUGUGUGCAUGUGUGUGGUUUAGAGGAGAAGUAAGACAAACUGCAGUGUAACUAAUGCCGCAGUUCUCCACAUAGCCUAGAAUCCUCUUCAAUAACCUUACUUAGAUGCUUAGAAACUCACUCAAACACACACUAGGAAGCGAGAACAGUAAUUUGAAUUAGACUGGGCAGUGACAGCGUGUUCUGCAGAAAAAGCAGUUUUCGAUUUAAUUUAGUUCACCAAGAAACAGUGAACAGCACCACACUGCCCUCUGGAGGCCUGGCAGGCAAUGAAAGGCUUUGGGGUUUUGUUUUUUUGUUGUUGUUUUUUCUCCAUCGGUGCUGGACAAGAAAACUCAAGAAUUUUCACUUUCAUUUGCCCAAGAACAGCAGCUACAGUCUGUGGCCUCCAGAGAAAAUGCUAUUAAGCUAGAAACACAAUAUAACCGAUUCUUGUCCUCUUCAACAUCACCAUGAAAGACUUCAGUCCAUGGCUUCAGAGGACUGCAGCUGACUUUAUUAGCUACAUGAAAGCAAAGCUGACCACAAUUUUAUCAGCAGAUCUCAGUGCAGUGGAAGAGUCGAUGGAGAAAACAGUGUGGGAAUCAGGAGUGAAGUAAAACACUCGAUGAUUCGAAAACCAACAAGGACCAGAUUGAGAGAAACAAAAAAGAAAACAAGAUUUACGUUACACAUUCACACCUUCACAGUGCCAAGACAGAAGGUUUCGAUUACACUAGGUAGUAGAUGUAAACUGAGCUAAUUUAUGAUUUCCCUAAAAUGUAAUGUUGAGCCAUUGUUUGAAAUGUCUUAGCUAGUUUAACUAUUAAUGAAUUUUCAGGUUUUAACCUUUUAUUCUUUUAUGUCUUUGUCUUACGUAGCUUGCCUUUCAGCGUCCAAGAUUACAUUAGUCCUGAUGUGGUCAAGUAAGGCGACUGGUGGAAAAACAAUGACCACCAUUCGUGUCAGUGUCUUUGUGCUUACUGAAGCCCAUUUUUGAAGUUCUUGAUUUUCUCUUGCUAAGUUAGUGUGUUCUGCAUUUAACUAGUGUUCUACAGCCACAUGCACACUAGAGCUCUGGAAAGUGAAGUUCAGACUGUGGUUCAUGUUUAAUAAACAGUUGCUGACUUUGUUUGCUGA
Electrophorus electricus (electric eel) is the source of this 3334-nucleotide long non-coding RNA. RefSeq lists it as uncharacterized. NCBI's taxonomy places the organism in Eukaryota, Metazoa, Chordata, Actinopteri, Gymnotiformes, Gymnotidae. The record is from RefSeq and is a predicted model, not a curated record.